GGCCACAUCUAUGGCAUAUGGAAGUUCCCAGGCCAGGGGUUGAAUCCGAGCUGCAACUGCUGGCCUACACCAGAAGUGUGGCCUACACAGUCACAGCAACUCGGGAUCUGAGCCAUGGCUGUGACCUACACCCCAUAGCUCACAGCAAAGCCUGAUCCUUAACCCACUGGGUGAGGCCAGGGAUUGAACCCUUGCCAGGUCUUGAUGGAUACUAGUCGGGUUCGUUACUGCUGAGCCAUAACGGGAACUCCCAUAGGUUCUUGAAAAGGUUAUAGAAGCAAUACCACGCCUAACACUUAGGACUUCAGUUCCUGAAUUACUCAACUGAAUGUUGACUGAAUACUGAAUCAUUCAAUUUUUGAAUAAAUAUUCAAAGAGUAACUGGUACUACAGAGAUACCCUUUUAUAAAGCAAGUUGCUCAUGCAACUGGUUUGACUCUAGUCACUUGAAUCAUCUUCUUUUUCUACUAUAUAAUGAUUUUUAUUGUUUUCCACUAUAGCUGGUUUACAGUGUUUUGUCAAUUUUCUUUCAUUGUCCUCACUGCUCUGGUCUGCCUGAUUGAGGAAUUCAUCUCAAAGACUCCACGGGGCACUUUCUACCCAUGACUUCAUCAUGAUAAUAGGAAGUAGUAGUUAUUAAUCGAAACCUCAAAACAUGAAAUAAACUUUAUAUAGUUUACUACCCAUCAAACUUAAAGACAUAAGUUAUGUGUAUAUGUAAUUCAUAGGUAGGCAUAAGCAUAGCAUAGUCCCUAAUUCCAGUCCUUUCCAGAUUAAAAUUCAGGAAGGUGAGGGGAAUAUAAUUUGAUCUGGUGUUGACUUUCCUCUUCUUUUUUUAAAAAAUCUUUUUAAAGAAUUUCAUCUGGAGUUCCCGUCGUGGCGCAGUGGUUAACGAAUCCGACUAGGAACCAUGAGGUUGCGGGUUCGAUCCCUGCCCUUGCUCAGUGGGUUAAGGAUCCAGCGUUGUCGGGAGCUGUGGUGUAGGUCACAGAUGUGGCUCGGAUCCUGCGUUGCCGUGGCUCUGCUGCCCUUGGCUUUCGGUGUGAUAAUUCACCCAGAUGGAAGGUGUCAUAAAGAAGGGCUUCAGAGAGGCCAUUCCAUUUCAGUAGAACCUUGAAAUAUGGCAGGUAGACCAUAUGGGGGUGGGGAGGGCAUUCCAGGAGCAGGGAAAAACCUGAAAGUGUUUCGAAUACAUCUUGUUCUCACCUAUCUGCUGAGCAGGAAAGGCUGUUUGGAGGCAGGUGCUACAGAUAAGUAUGGACAGGGAGCCAGAUUAUGACGAGCCUCACAUACCAUGCUAAAGAGCAAGGACCCCCUAGCAGGUGAAGGGGUACAGUGGUGAGGAGCCACAGGCCUGAGCAGGUGGCUUUACACUGCAGUUCAUGCUCUACUUGCCUUGCAGCAGCUAAGCAGCUAAUGGACUGCGACUCAGCAGUAAGGAAGUAUCAGCCCUUCACCACCUCCACUUCUUCCUCCACACACUGAAGUCCCUUGUGCUCCGUCAACCCCUUCUACCCCUAGCUACUGCAUCUGUGCAUUCUUCUCUUUCAUGCAGGCCUCUCACCCUGCAGUGCUUAUUUGUUCAUGUGCAUGUGUCCCCCACAAGAGCUUGAGUGUCUUGAGGGCCAGGACAGGACUGCACUCACUUUCCUAUGCUCAGGAUUUAGCCCAGCGCCUAGCAGAACGUAGGCACU
Molecule: long non-coding RNA, 1694 nt
Filed under: Sus scrofa (pig)
Lineage: Eukaryota; Metazoa; Chordata; Mammalia; Artiodactyla; Suidae
Description: lncRNA (ENSSSCG00000062301.1)
Source: RNAcentral